UACGUAGGGAGCGAGCGUUAUCCGGAUUUAUUGGGUGUAAAGGGUGCGUAGGCGGUUUAUUAGGUCUAAGGUUUAAGCCCGGAGCUUAACUCCGGUUCACCUUAGAAACCGAUUUACUUGAGUAUAGUAGAGGCAAGUGGAAUUUCUAGUGUAGCGGUAAAAUGCGUAGAUAUUAGAAGGAACACCAGUGGCGAAGGCGACUUGCUGGGCUAUUACUGACGCUGAGGCACGAAAGCGUGGGGAGCAAAUA
This 250-nucleotide ribosomal RNA is filed under the name uncultured prokaryote. Its description in RNAcentral is "partial 16S ribosomal RNA". It matches the Rfam family "Bacterial small subunit ribosomal RNA", at positions 524 to 774 of the family's 1533-position model. The record is from RNAcentral.